ACCAGGUACAAAAUCCCCUGGGACAAAACAGAACUUUCAUAACUGGCUGUAGAGUUAUUGUUUUUGCCUUUUGAAAGCUUCCACCUUGUGACGAGAAGAGCACUGUCAGCCCAACACAGAAACUCUGCCGCCUGGAGUCACAUGGAUCCAGAUGCGAAGGGACUCGAAUGUCAUGCUAAGGAGUUUGGGUAAUAGCAAUGAUAAAAUGCUACUUAUUGAGGUAGACAUGUUUAAUGUAUCUUCUUUAAUCCUGAAGGCUAAGAAUUUGUACAGCCAUAUUACAGAUUUGGAAAAUGAUGUGAAGAGAAGCUAAGGGAUUUGCCAUUGCCACUCAGCUGCCAAGGGUCAGAGACAUUACUUCUACUUCUCAAUGUCCAUCCUCCAGCCAUUGUCCGGUGAUUCGGGCAGAAUUCACUCCUGCUCAGGAGGCAGCCAUCCUGUGACCCUGGAAGCAACCAGCCCAAGGAAGGUGCUAACCUACAGAAGAAGGGUCAUCACGUAGACCCGGAGUUGGAGCUCUGACUGCACCACAUCCGAAGCCUCCCCACCUUUCAACCUCUCGGUGAUGGUGAACCAAUAAACUCUUUUUAUUGUUCAAGCCA
Molecule: long non-coding RNA, 602 nt
Filed under: Pongo abelii (Sumatran orangutan)
Lineage: Eukaryota; Metazoa; Chordata; Mammalia; Primates; Hominidae
Description: lincRNA
Source: RNAcentral